GUCUAUGGCCUUACCACCCUGAACGCACACGGUCUCAUCUGAUCUCGGAAGCUAAGCAGGGGCAGGCCUGGUUAGUACUUGGAUGGGAGAAAGAAGUAAUAAUGCUGUAUAUA
This 113-nucleotide ribosomal RNA is filed under the name Castor canadensis (American beaver). Lineage: Eukaryota; Metazoa; Chordata; Mammalia; Rodentia; Castoridae. The record is from RNAcentral.